This 1266-nucleotide long non-coding RNA is filed under the name Phasianus colchicus (ring-necked pheasant). Its description in RNAcentral is "lncRNA (ENSPCLG00000015675.1)". The record is from RNAcentral. Lineage: Eukaryota; Metazoa; Chordata; Aves; Galliformes; Phasianidae.
CCUCCAUAGAGGUGGGUGCUGGCAUGAGGAUGCUUAGGUGCAGGGCAUUUGGCAGCACGGACAGGAGAGGACCAGAGGCCCAAAUCCACAGGCAAAGUUAAUUGCUGUAAUUUACCUCCAGUUGAUAAUUCUUUGCUGAUUGACACCCAUGAACAUGCUGCCAGGUGCCUUUAGGCAGAAGGCUCCUCGCUGUGUCCCACAUCCCCUAUAGGCAGAGCUGAGCCCCGUGUCUGAGAGCAGUGGGCAUCCACCAGCAAAAGCCAAAUGUUUUGGGGGCUGUUGGUGUGCCAGAAGAGCUGUGGGUCUCAGCUUCUCCGAGGGUGUGCUCACAUUGCCGCCAAGCCAGAGCAUGGCCGCUGUUCAUUACCCUGCUCCCAGAUGAACAGUAAGUCUCUGGAACAGUACUUACAGCCUGUAAUAAUAUUACUGCUCGGCCUGCUACAUGGUCCCUCCGUCAUUUUUUCAAUUAAAAAAGGACCGAUGCUCUAUUAACCUUUUGGCUGCUACUCCAUUCUUCAUACAGCCGCCGGACUGAGAUUGCAAGCCAUGUAUUAAAAAAGGCAUAUAUUACUGUAAACCGUCUCCAAGUUUUCUGUCAUUGGAAAGAUGAAGUAUCAUUUUUUUCAUUGAAAAAUAUGAGACAGUUUAUCAAAUGGCUGACCUCUGAACCGGCGGCGAAUCCCUUUGUUACCUCGAAGCGCACGGCAACGUGCACAGCACACCGCUGCCACUCUGCCCCAGUGCCAGCCCCGCCGGGCUGUGACGCACGCGGGUUUUCAUGGCUCUUCCCCUUGAUUUGUUCCAUUUCUCUUUUCUCAAGGCAUUGGCUGCUGGUUGUAUGCAAACGUGUGUGCCACCAGCCCCACCAGGACCUCGGGGGAUGUCAGGUUGGCCAGGCACCUUCCUUCUUUCCAGUCAUAACCAGGGGCUUCUUGCACUGCACGGACCACGGCGGCCCUGCAUGGAAGAGGUAGCACCGGUCUUCAGUCUAGAGAGCAGGCGAGCUGUCUGCUGCAACAUUUUGCUCCAGUUCAUGCCCAUUGCUGGCAGCUCCUGCCCACUGCACUGCAGCCCUGCCAUGAAGGAAACAGAAAUGAUGGACAAAUACUCAUGCAGUGUAGCUUUGGGUCUGGGCAGCCCCUACGUUUGUGUGAGAACAUACAAAAUGACUCUGAGAAAAUGAGAGUAAAAGCAGUCAAUCUUAUGCCCCGUAAAUUGGGAGAUAACUCAAUAUGAAUAUUGCUAUUGAACUUUCAUCCUGCCGUG